CACGGUUCUAGGGGGACCUUUGUAGUCCUGUCCACUGUCACCUCAGCGGAGGGCUGGGUGGGCCGCUGGUGACAUCCACCCCCUUCCCUUCCCGUCGCGGGCCUCCUCAGGCACCGCCACAGACUGUCCUCCCCUCCGUGGCCGGCUCCUCGGCCGCCCAGUCCACCUCGCGUCGGGCCCCGCUGCCCACGGCCUCCAGUCUGCGGCAGCCCCCUCGGGGGCCACCAUCUUUGCCGUUGGCGUCGCCUCGGCCUGGUCGCCGCCCCAGCGAGGUAUUGCUCAGUGCCAUGUCCGCCUCCGGGGAUACAGGCGGGGCCCCGGGUGGCCAGGAGAGCCCCGUGCGCGUGGCGGGGGCGUGGGCCCCGGAGGCCGGAGGCGGCAUCGGGGUGGCCGUCGAGUCUGGGCUCCCCCGGAUGGAGGUGGUCGAAGUGGCGGGGCCCGUGGGAGGCCUCGGGGAGUUGCUGGUGGCCCUCGAGUCCGGGCCCCCUGGAAUAGAGGUGGCCCUCGAGCCUGGGCCCCCCCAAAUGGAGGUGGCCGUCGACUCCGGGCCCCCUCGAAUGGAGGUGGCCCUCGAGACCGGGAGCCCCGGAACGGAGGCGGCCCUCGAGUCUGGGCCCCCCCAAAUGGAGGUGGCCGUCGAGUCUGGGCCCCCUCGAAUGGAGGUGGCCCUCGAGUCCGGGCCCCUCCCCCGAAUGGAGGUGGCCCUCGAGUCUGGGCUCCCCCGGACUGAGGUGGUCGAAGUGGCGGGGCCCGUGGGAGGCCUCGGGGACGCUGCGCUGGCUCUGGGUCUGGGUCUGGCCCGCGGCCGGGAGGGCGGGAGCGCCGCGGCCGAGGAGGACGACUCGGACUUCGGGCCGGCGGAGGAGGAUGGGGCAGAGCAGCCGCAGGAGGGCCUGGACAACCUGGUGGACGCCCACCAGUUCCCCAUGGUGGGUUUCCGCUUCAUGUUCCUGGAACUGGUGCACUCGCUGCUGCGCCGCGUCUACUACAACGACCACAUCCUCGUGCGGCCCCCUGGCGGCCGCCUGACGCUCCGGCCCCGGGCCUGGCCGCCCCGCGGCCCCCGCGGGCACCCCGCGCCCCCCGCCGCCCCGCCGGCGCGGGCAGCACCGGCCAUGGCCCGCGAGUCCGAGGGCUCGUCCGAGGAGGAGGCCGCCUGGGAGACGGCGGAGGAGCCCGACCAGGAGCCUGAGGAGGUCCGGGCGACCACCAAGGGAACAACUAAAUAUCAGUAUGAGAAGUCUGGGGCCCACGACUCUGAAAGGGACGAAGGAAAAGACAAGUUCAACAAAAAACAAGAAGGACCCGACUAAAAAGCAUCUGCCCCAACAGAGAACAGGCCCAGAAAAUCCAGUUGGCACAUAAGAAAGAAGAUGAAGAAAGAAGAAAGAAUGUGUUGUUCAUUAUUUUUAGGUUUUUCAUUUUUUAGAAGCCCACGGGAAUUUCAUUAACACCGAUGUCAUUCCAAACUGCAUCACGCAAAAAGUGAUAUCCAAUGAAAUACGACUCUUCUCUUACGUUUGACAGAUAUAUUUGACAGCAUUUGUUCUAGUUAAAACUAAGUUUGUUUUAAAUUAAUACACUGGAAUGUAGGCAGAUUUUACUUAGUUAAAUUAUCUUGACUCAAAUCUCUCUUUUUCCUCUUUGUUUUGGCCCACCGUACCUUCACUGAAAGGUAUCACUUUCCACACCAUUUGGUGAGCCUAUUUUAAAUUAGUUUAUUACAGCCCCAAAUAAAAUAAAAUGUCAAGUUUAAAACACUUUUUGUAAGGAGAGAGAUGUAAGUCAGGUCUUUAGAGCUACACUGUCCACGACAUUAGUAACUACACCCACACGUGGCUAUGAAAUAUGGCUAGUCUAAUUUGAUAUGUGCUGUUAAGUAUACAAAUGUCACAUUAACUCACUGAUUAUUUCAUAUGGAUUACAUGUUGAAACGAUAAUAUAUUGAGCUAAAAUAUACUAUUAAAACUAAUUUUGCC
Long non-coding RNA from Zalophus californianus (California sea lion), 1979 nucleotides. NCBI's taxonomy places the organism in Eukaryota, Metazoa, Chordata, Mammalia, Carnivora, Otariidae. The record is from Ensembl.